UCUCCGUUGGUGAACCAGCGGAGGGAUCAUUACAGGACUCGCAAGACUCCUACAAUCCUGUGAACUUAACUAUAAGCACGUUGCUUCGGCGGGUGUCUCGGAGGGGGUUCUCCCUCCCCGAGACGCUAAACCCGCCGGCAGCCUACUAUACUCUGUCUCUUUGCGUUGGCAUCUCGAGUACAAUCAAACAAGUUAAAACUUUCAACAACGGAUCUCUUGGUUCUG
Molecule: unclassified non-coding RNA, 225 nt
Filed under: plant metagenome
Description: partial contains small subunit ribosomal RNA, internal transcribed spacer 1, and 5.8S ribosomal RNA
Source: RNAcentral